UACGUAGGCGGCAAGCGUUGUCCGGAUUUACUGGGCGUAAAGAGCGCGCAGGCGGUCGUUCAAGUCGCGUGUGAAAGCCCCCGGCUCAACUGGGGAGGGUCACGCGAUACUGAUCGACUCGAAGGCAGGAGAGGGUAGUGGAAUUCCCGGUGUAGUGGUGAAAUGCGUAGAUAUCGGGAGGAACACCAGUGGCGAAGGCGGGUUGCUGGGCCGACACUGACGCUGAGGCGCGAAAGCCAGGGGAGCGAACGGG
RNAcentral lists this ribosomal RNA (253 nucleotides) under uncultured bacterium. Its description in RNAcentral is "partial 16S ribosomal RNA". It matches the Rfam family "Bacterial small subunit ribosomal RNA", at positions 524 to 776 of the family's 1533-position model. The record is from RNAcentral.